UCGAUCUCAAAUCAGGCAAGGCUACCCGCUGAAUUUAAGCAUAUCAAUAAGCGGAGGAAAAGAAACUAACCAGGAUUCCCCUAGUAACGGCGAGUGAAGAGGGAAGAGCUCAAAUUUGGAAUCUGCCGGGUCGUACCUGUGCAGAAUUGUAGUUUUGUGAACGGCCUUACGGAGCGGCGACUUGCGAUCGAAGUCCAUUGGAACAUGGCGCCUGAGAGGGUGAGAGCCCCGUUCAUGGUCGCAGGAUUUUCGCCGUUCGACACGUACUGCCGUCUCGACGAGUCGGGUUGUUUGGGAGUACAGCCCUAAAUCGGGUGGUAAAUCUCAUCUAAAGCUAAAUACUGGCGAGAGACCGAUAGCGAACAAGUACCGUGAGGGAAAGAUGCAAAGAACCCUGAAAAGAGAGUUAAAAGUGCUUGAAAUUGUCAAAAGGGAAGCGAUUGGCACCAGUGUCUUGCGCGCGGUGAAAUCAGCCGGACUGCUAUGUUGGCUGGUGUUUGCAGGUCGAGGGGUCCCUGGCGGCCUCCGACGUGCAGACGCCGGGCCUUCGCAGAACGGUGCACUUUCGCCGCUGCGCGUGUCAGCGUCGAUUGGCGGUGGUCGAGAAGAUGGGUSCCCGGAAGGUGGGCAGGCGCUGGCAACAGCGCUUGUCGUUACAGCCGGGUGCACGCGGUAUCGCCCCACGCCGAUCGAGGCGUCUUCACGGACGUUUCAACGAGCGGUCUUCGGAUCGGGAGACUGCGCUGCCUGACUGGUCCCGACGGCCGUGAACAGCUUGCUGUGCUCGUCGAUCGGUGGCCGGUCACCGCGGCGCUAUCGCCAGCUCGUUAGGGAUGCUGACGAAAUGGUGUCAAUCGACCCGUCUUGAAACACGGACCAAGGAGUCUAACAUGUAUGCGAGUAUUCGGGUGGCAAACCCUGGAUGCGCAAUGAAAGUGAAACUGGUGGGAAGCGAGGCGAGUCAAAUCGUCGAGCAGCACCAUCGACCGCUCUGGAGAUUCUUCGAUAGAUGUGAGUGGGAGCAUACCUGUUGGGACCCGAAAGAUAGCGAACUAUGCUUGCAUAGGGUGAGGCCAGAAGAAAUUCUGGUGGAGGCUCGUAGCGAUACUGACGUGCAAAUCGUUCGUCAAAUGUGAGUAUAGCGGCGAAAGACUAAUCGAGCUAUCUAGUAGCUGGUUUCCUCCGAAGUUUCCCUCAGGAUAGCUGGAACUUUGUCGUAAACAGUUUCAUCGGGUAAAGCGAAUGAUUAGAGGAUUUGGGGUUGAAACAACCUUAACCUAUUCUCAAACUUUAAAUAGGUGAGACGGGCCCGUUGCUUCGGUGAACGGGCUUCUCGAAUGGAGAGUUCCAAGUGGGCCGUUUCUGGUAAGCAGGACUGGCGAUGCGGGAUGAACCGAACGUCGAGUUAAAGUGCCCAAAUGCACGCUCAUCAGACACCAGAAAAGGUGUCGAUUCAUUUUGACAGCAGGACGGUGGCCAUGGAAGUCGGAACCCGCUAAGGAGUGUGUAACAACUCACCUGCCGAAUGAAUCGGCCCUGAAAAUGGAUGGCGCUCAAGCGUGCUACUUAUACUCGACCUUCGGGGCAAAUGCGAGGCCCCGAAGAGUAGGAGGACGUGGAGAUCGUGACGCAACCUUUGGGCGUGAGCCCGGGUGAAACGGUCUCUAGUGCAGAUCUUGGUGGUAGUAGCAAGUAAUCAAAUGAGAACUUUGAUGGCUGAAGUGGCGAAUGGUUCCGUGUGAACAGCAAUUGGACACGGGUGAGUCGAUCCUGAGAGAUAGGGUAACUCCGUUACAAAGGUGCGGCAUCCGGCUCGCUGGGCGCCGCCUACUAUCGAAAGGGAAGCAGGUUAAUAUUCCUGCACCGGAGCUCGGAUAUCGUGUCGCCGCAAGGCGGCACUCAAGUGUGGCAACACAAGCGAACCUCGAGACGUCGGCGGAGGCCCUGGGAAGAGUUCUCUUUUCUUUUUGACGGCCACAAACAGCCUCAUCGCGAAAGACCCUGGAAUCAGAUUACCUGGAGAUAGGGUUCGAUGGCCGGCAGAGUGCCGCAAUUUCUGCGGCAUCCGGUGCGCCUCCGACGGCCCCUGAAAAUCGAGGGGAGACAAUGAUUUUCGAGCCCGGUCGUACACAUAACCGCAUCAGGUCGCCAAGGUGAAUAGCCUCUAGUCGAUAGAAUAAUGUAGGUAAGGGAAGUCGGCAAAAUAGAUCCGUAACUUCGGGAAAAGGAUUGGCUCUAAAGGUUGGGCCUUGGGGUCUGCGCGGCGAGGCCGGAUGUGCGGACGAAUCACUACGGGCGGCUGGGCGACCGGCUGCCUGUGGAGGUUUGACUGCGCGCCGGCGUUAGCUGCGCAGAGUUUGGCGGCGGCGGGCAACCGACGUCGUCGAUUUCCCUUGGCGAUUAACAACCGAUUUAGAACUGUUUCGGACAAGGGGAAUCCGACUGUUUAAUUAAAACGAAGCAUUGCGAUGGUCGCAACCGAUGUUGACGCAAUGUGAUUUCUGCCCAGUGCUCUGAAUGUCAAAGUGAAGAAAUUCAACCAAGCGCGGGUAAACGGCGGGAGUAACUAUGACUCUC
RNAcentral lists this ribosomal RNA (2577 nucleotides) under Phalansterium filosum. RNAcentral describes it as "eukaryotic LSU rRNA". It matches the Rfam family "Eukaryotic large subunit ribosomal RNA", at positions 1 to 2274 of the family's 3401-position model. Lineage: Eukaryota; Evosea; Variosea. The record is from RNAcentral.